Molecule: long non-coding RNA, 698 nt
Organism: Gigantopelta aegis
Lineage: Eukaryota; Metazoa; Mollusca; Gastropoda; Neomphalida; Peltospiridae
Exons: 3
Source: RefSeq, a predicted model, not a curated record
GAUAUAAAUAAUAAUUAUGUAGAUAUAUGUCUAUAUUUUGUUAGACUUAACUUGUUUUAAUAAAAUUUUAAAAAGCAUGCACACAACAGCUCAUUAUAAAGAAAUUUUGCCCACAGCGGCCCACUGUCGGCCCAACGUAGGGCCAGAUCAACACUAAUUUACCAUCGCUGAUGGACAUUUUGCCUGUUGUUGGGACUGCUGCAGAACAAGUGUUCGUUAUGAAUGGUGUAGAAUACUGAGAUUAAGCUUGCCACUUUAGGCUUUAUGGUGCAAAUUCAAAGUGUAAAUUAUAUAUAAUUAUGUUUUUAAAACAAAUGACUACACUAUUGUGUGGCUCGCCAGACAGCGGAGGAAUACAACAUAAAUAGGAAACAAGAUAUUUGAAUUUAUAAGUUAAAAUGCCAAGUUCUUUUCAUCACGCACGUGGAAUAUGUCUAGCAUACAUGAAGACUGAUUUUAGAGUGUUUGCUUGAAUCCAGAUACAAAAAUAAUGGUAUGAAGCAUCUUCCCACGGAAUUACCAUUCUGCAUGUCUUACUGAAGUAUUUAUCAUUUCUAGGUCAUUUCCAUAGUCUGAAGUCAUUUAAAAGAAUCAAAAAGUGGUUUUGAACUUCCAUUGUUCCAGUGUCAGAAAUGAUAGGGAUAAAAAGACAAAUACAUUGUAUUUAAUGUAACUGUGAAUUUCCUAAAAUAAAAUUA